GAUGAACGCUGGCGGCGUGCCUAAUACAUGCAAGUCGAGCGAACAGACGAGGAGCUUGCUCCUUUGACGUUAGCGGCGGACGGGUGAGUAACACGUGGAUAACCUACCUAUAAGACUGGGAUAACUUCGGGAAACCGGAGCUAAUACCGGAUAACAUGUUGAACCGCAUGGUUCAACAGUGAAAGACGGUCUUGCUGUCACUUAUAGAUGGAUCCGCGCUGCAUUAGCUAGUUGGUAAGGUAACGGCUUACCAAGGCAACGAUGCGUAGCCGACCUGAGAGGGUGAUCGGCCACACUGGAACUGAGACACGGUCCAGACUCCUACGGGAGGCAGCAGUAGGGAAUCUUCCGCAAUGGGCGAAAGCCUGACGGAGCAACGCCGCGUGAGUGAAGAAGGUCUUCGGAUCGUAAAACUCUGUUAUUAGGGAAGAACAAAUGUGUAAGUAACUAUGCACGUCUUGACGGUACCUAAUCAGAAAGCCACGGCUAACUACGUG
This 497-nucleotide ribosomal RNA is filed under the name uncultured bacterium. RNAcentral describes it as "partial 16S ribosomal RNA". It matches the Rfam family "Bacterial small subunit ribosomal RNA", at positions 28 to 507 of the family's 1533-position model. The record is from RNAcentral.